GGGGGAAUAUUGCACAAUGGGCGCAAGCCUGAUGCAGCCAUGCCGCGUGUAUGAAGAAGGCCUUCGGGUUGUAAAGUACUUUCAGCGGGGAGGAAGGUGUUGUGGUUAAUAACCACAGCAAUUGACGUUACCCGCAGAAGAAGCACCGGCUAACUCCGUGCCAGCAGCCGCGGUAAUACGGAGGGUGCAAGCGUUAAUCGGAAUUACUGGGCGUAAAGCGCACGCAGGCGGUCUGUCAAGUCGGAUGUGAAAUCCCCGGGCUCAACCUGGGAACUGCAUCCGAAACUGGCAGGCUUGAGUCUUGUAGAGGGGGGUAGAAUUCCAGGUGUAGCGGUGAAAUGCGUAGAGAUCUGGAGGAAUACCGGUGGCGAAGGCGGCCCCCUGGACAAAGACUGACGCUCAGGUGCGAAAGCGUGGGGAGCAAACA
This 427-nucleotide ribosomal RNA is filed under the name uncultured bacterium. RNAcentral describes it as "partial 16S ribosomal RNA". It matches the Rfam family "Bacterial small subunit ribosomal RNA", at positions 355 to 774 of the family's 1533-position model. The record is from RNAcentral.